Molecule: ribosomal RNA, 79 nt
Filed under: Bacillus licheniformis
Lineage: Bacteria; Bacillati; Bacillota; Bacilli; Caryophanales; Bacillaceae
Also listed under: 1 other name
Description: partial 23S ribosomal RNA
Source: RNAcentral
CAGGUUGAUAGGUCUGAGGUGGAAGUGUGGCGACACAUGGAGCUGACAGAUACUAAUCGAUCGAGGACUUAACCUAAUA